Molecule: non-coding RNA, 22 nt
Filed under: Arabidopsis thaliana (thale cress)
Lineage: Eukaryota; Viridiplantae; Streptophyta; Magnoliopsida; Brassicales; Brassicaceae
Source: RNAcentral
UGAGACUUUAGUUGUUAAAUUC